This 461-nucleotide ribosomal RNA is filed under the name uncultured bacterium. RNAcentral describes it as "bacterial SSU rRNA". It matches the Rfam family "Bacterial small subunit ribosomal RNA", at positions 34 to 507 of the family's 1533-position model. The record is from RNAcentral.
CGCUGGCGGCGUGCCUAACACAUGCAAGUCGAACGGGGUAAGGAGAGCUUGCUUUCCUUACUUAGUGGCGAACGGGUGAGUAACGCGUGAGAAACCUGCCUCUCAGUGGGGGACAACAGUUGGAAACGACUGCUAAUACCGCAUAAUGCAAUUGAGUCGCAUGGCUCUGAUUGCCAAAGAUUUAUCGCUCUAAGAUGGCCUCGCGUCUGAUUAGCUAGUUGGCGGGGUAACGGCCUACCAAGGCGACGAUCAGUAGCCGGUCUGAGAGGAUGAACGGCCACAUUGGGACUGAGAUACGGCCCAGACUCCUACGGGAGGCAGCAGGUGGGGAAUAUUGGGCAAUGGGGGAAACCCUGACCCAGCAACGCCGCGUGAAGGAAGAAGGCCUUCGGGUUGUAAACUUCUUUAGCAGGGACGAAGGACGUGACGGUACCUGCAGAAAAGCAACGGCUAACUACGUG